GACGAACGCUGGCGGCGUGCUUAACACAUGCAAGUCGAACGGAAAGGCCCUGCUUGCAGGGUACUCGAGUGGCGAACGGGUGAGUAACACGUGGGUGAUCUGCCCUGCACUUCGGGAUAAGCCUGGGAAACUGGGUCUAAUACCGGAUAGGAGCCAUUUUUAGUGUGAUGGUUGGAAAGUUUUUUCGGUGUAGGAUGAGCUCGCGGCCUAUCAGCUUGUUGGUGGGGUAAUGGCCUACCAAGGCGGCGACGGGUAGCCGGCCUGAGAGGGUGGACGGCCACAUUGGGACUGAGAUACGGCCCAGACUCCUACGGGAGGCAGAAGUGGGGAAUAUUGCACAAUGGGCGCAAGCCUGAUGCAGCGACGCCGCGUGGGGGAUGACGGCCUUCGGGUUGUAAACUGCUUUCGCUAGGGACGAAGCUUUUGUGACGGUACCUAGAUAAGAAGCACCGGCUAACUACGUG
This 464-nucleotide ribosomal RNA is filed under the name uncultured bacterium. RNAcentral describes it as "partial 16S ribosomal RNA". It matches the Rfam family "Bacterial small subunit ribosomal RNA", at positions 28 to 507 of the family's 1533-position model. The record is from RNAcentral.